Molecule: ribosomal RNA, 497 nt
Filed under: uncultured bacterium
Lineage: Bacteria
Description: partial 16S ribosomal RNA
Rfam family: Bacterial small subunit ribosomal RNA
Source: RNAcentral
GACGAACGCUGGCGGCGUGCCUAAUACAUGCAAGUUGAGCGCUGAAGGUUUGUACUUGUACCAACUGGAUGAGCAGCGAACGGGUGAGUAACGCGUGGGGAAUCUGCCUUUUAUCGGGGGACAACAUUUGGAAACGAAUGCUAAUACCGCAUAAAAACUUUAAACACAAGUUUUAAGUUUGAAAGAUGCAAUUGCAUCACUCAAAGAUGAUCCCGCGUUGUAUUAGCUAGUUGGUGAGGUAAAGGCUCACCAAGGCGAUGAUACAUAGCCGACCUGAGAGGGUGAUAGGCCACAUUGGGACUGAGAAAAGGCCCAAACUCCUACGGGAGGCAGCAGUAGGGAAUCUUCGGCAAUGGACGAAAGUCUGACCGAGCAAAGCCGCGUGAGUGAAGAAGGUUUUCGGAUCGUAAAACUCUGUUGGUAGAGAAGAAAGUUGGUGAGAGUGGAAAGCUCAUCAAGUGACGGUAACUACACAGAAAGGGACGGCUAACUACGUG